RNAcentral lists this ribosomal RNA (256 nucleotides) under uncultured bacterium. Its description in RNAcentral is "partial 16S ribosomal RNA". It matches the Rfam family "Bacterial small subunit ribosomal RNA", at positions 524 to 776 of the family's 1533-position model. The record is from RNAcentral.
UACGUAGGGGCCUAGCGUUGUCCGGAAUUAUUGGGCGUAAAGAGCUUGUAGGCGGUUUUGUCGCGUCUGCUGUGAAAUUUUCGGGGCUCAACCCCGAACUUGCAGUGGGUACGGGCAGACUAGAGUGUGGUAGGGGAGACUGGAAUUCCUGGUGUAGCGGUGAAAUGCGCAGAUAUCAGGAGGAACACCGAUGGCGAAGGCAGGUCUCUGGGCCACUACUGACGCUGAGAAGCGAAAGCAUGGGGGAGCGAACAGG